RNAcentral lists this ribosomal RNA (28 nucleotides) under Mycobacterium celatum. The record is from RNAcentral. Lineage: Bacteria; Bacillati; Actinomycetota; Actinomycetes; Mycobacteriales; Mycobacteriaceae.
AUAGAGUUACGGCGGUCCAUAGCGGCAG